Molecule: small nucleolar RNA, 107 nt
Organism: Hevea brasiliensis (rubber tree)
Lineage: Eukaryota; Viridiplantae; Streptophyta; Magnoliopsida; Malpighiales; Euphorbiaceae
Source: RefSeq, a predicted model, not a curated record
AUGCCAUGGUGUGGGCACUCACUCUGCAGAUCUUUGUAACUUUCUCAUGCAUCAUAAAGAGACUCAUUGUCCCUUUACUGAAAUCUAUUAGGUUCAUUGAGGAGUUU